UACGUAAGGGGCUAGCGUUGUCCGGAUUUAUUGGGCGUAAAGAGCGUGUAGGCGGCCAGGUAGGUCUGGUGUGAAAACUCGAGGCUUAACCUCGAGAUGUCAUCGGAAACCAUUUGGCUAGAGUCCGGAAGAGGAGAGUGGAAUUCCUGGUGUAGCGGUGAAAUGCGCAGAUAUCAGGAGGAACACCGGUGGCGAAGGCGG
Molecule: ribosomal RNA, 201 nt
Filed under: uncultured bacterium
Lineage: Bacteria
Description: partial 16S ribosomal RNA
Rfam family: Bacterial small subunit ribosomal RNA
Source: RNAcentral